GAGGAGGAAGAGUUAAAGCCACGCAUGAUGUGUGUAGAGACCGUGUGUGUAUGUGUUUUCCCACCCUCCCUUCUCUUCCCGCUUCGGCGGUAUUGGGAGACUCGCGGUUGGAGUAGGAGAGCGAAGAAGCGGCGCUGCAACCGGGGAGAGCAACAUCAUUUCAACCUACAUUCAUCUUUCUCAGGGGGAGGCCAACAUACCCACCUCUUCCAGCUAGGACCAAUACAUUAUCCAAUGGCACCCACUGAGCAGCUUUGUGUUGCCAGCUAGUUGGCCGUGGUGGGAAACAAGAUACUGGAAUAUCUAGACCUUCGGUCUAAUUCAGCAGCAGGGGAAGCUGUACAGACCCUAGAAUGUUGCCUGGCCACUGUUAUGGACUGCACCAGGGCAAAUAAGCCAAAACUGAAUCCUGACAAGACAGGGAUCCUGUUGUUGGGAGAGCAUCCUGAUUGGUUAGGGGGCAUGUUACCUGACCUUGAUGGGGUCACACUCCCCGUGAAGGAUCAGGUGCAAAAUCUGGGUGUGCUUCUGGACCUGGCCCUCUUGAUGGAAAAAACUGAUCCUGGCUGUGGC
Molecule: non-coding RNA, 573 nt
Organism: Pogona vitticeps (central bearded dragon)
Lineage: Eukaryota; Metazoa; Chordata; Lepidosauria; Squamata; Agamidae
Source: RefSeq, a predicted model, not a curated record